RNAcentral lists this ribosomal RNA (460 nucleotides) under uncultured bacterium. RNAcentral describes it as "partial 16S ribosomal RNA". It matches the Rfam family "Bacterial small subunit ribosomal RNA", at positions 338 to 795 of the family's 1533-position model. The record is from RNAcentral.
CCUACGGGAGGCAGCAGUGAGGAAUAUUGGUCAAUGGGCUUACGCCUGAACCAGCCAAGUCGCGUGAGGGAAGACUGCCCUAUGGGUUGUAAACCUCUUUUGUCAGGGAGCAACGCCGGCUACGUGUAGCCGGACUGAGAGUACCUUAAGAAAACGCAUCGGCUAACUCCGUGCCAGCAGCCGCGGUAAUACGGAGGAUGCGAGCGUUAUCCGGAUUUAUUGGGUUUAAAGUGUGCGUAGGCGGAAUGCCAAGUCAGCGGUAAAAUCUCGGGGCUCAACCUCGCUACGCCGUUGAAACUGGCGUUCUGGAGUGGGCGAGAAGUAUGCGGAAUGCGUGGUGUAGCGGUGAAAUGCAUAGAUAUCACGCAGAACUCCGAUUGGGAAGGCAGCAUACCGGCGCCCAACUGACGCUGAAGCACGAAAGCGUGGGUAUCGAACAGGAUUAGAUACCCGAGUAGUC